CAUGUGGCUUAAUCAGACGCAACGCGAAGAACCUUACCACGGCUUGACAUAUGCCGGAAACAUCCAGAGAUGGGUGCCCCCUUGUGGUCGGUAUACAGGUGGUGCAUGGUUGUCGUCAGCUCGUGUCGUGAGAUGUUGGGUUAAGUCCCGCAACGAGCGCAACCCUUGUUCUGUGUUGCCAGCAUGCCUUUCGGGGUGAUGGGGACUCACAGGAGACUGCCGGGGUCAACUCGGAGGAAGGUGGGGACGACGUCAAAUCAUCAUGCCCCUUAUGUCUUGGGCUGCACACGUGCUACAAUGGUCGGUACAAAGGGCUGCGAUGCCGUGAGGCGGAGCGAAUCCCAAAAAGCCGGCCUCAGUUCGGAUUGGGGUCUGCAACUCGACCCCAUGAAGUUGGAGUUGCUAGUAAUCGCAGAUCAGCAUGCUGCGGUGAAUACGUUCCCGGGCCUUGUACACACCGCCCGUCACGUCACGAAAGUCGGUAACACCCG
This 491-nucleotide ribosomal RNA is filed under the name Streptomyces sp. RNAcentral describes it as "bacterial SSU rRNA". It matches the Rfam family "Bacterial small subunit ribosomal RNA", at positions 938 to 1423 of the family's 1533-position model. The record is from RNAcentral. Lineage: Bacteria; Bacillati; Actinomycetota; Actinomycetes; Kitasatosporales; Streptomycetaceae.